This 495-nucleotide ribosomal RNA is filed under the name uncultured bacterium. RNAcentral's name for it is "partial 16S ribosomal RNA". It matches the Rfam family "Bacterial small subunit ribosomal RNA", at positions 28 to 507 of the family's 1533-position model. The record is from RNAcentral.
GACGAACGCUGGCGGCGUGCCUAAUACAUGCAAGUAGAACGCUGAAGGAGGAGCUUGCUUCUAUGGCUGAGUUGCGAUCGGGUGAGUAACGCGUAGGUAACCUGCCUGGUAGCGGGGGAUAACUAUUGGAAACGAUAGCUAAUACCGCAUAACAGUAGAUAUCGCAUGAUAUCUACUUGAAAGGUGCAAUUGCCUCACUACCAGAUGGACCUGCGUUGUAUUAGCUAGUUGGUGAGGUAACGGCUCACCAAGGCGACGGUACAUAGCCGACCUGAGAGGGGUGACGGCCACACUGGGACUGAGACACGGCCCAGACUCCUACGGGAGGCAGCAGGAGGGAAUCUUCGGCAAUGGACGGAAGGCUGACCGAGCAACGCCGCGUGAGUGAAGAAGGGUUUCGGAUCGUAAAACUCUGUUGUAAGAGAAGAACGAGUAUGAGAGUGAAAAGUUCCCACUGUGACGGUACCUUACCAGAAAGUAACGGCUAACUCCGUG